GAUGAACGCUGGCGGCGUGCCUAAUACAUGCAAGUCGAGCGAACAGACGAGGAGCUUGCUCCUCUGACGUUAGCGGCGGACGGGUGAGUAACACGUGGAUAACCUACCUAUAAGACUGGGAUAACUUCGGGAAACCGGAGCUAAUACCGGAUAACAUGUUGAACCGCAUGGUUUAACAGUGAAAGACGGUCUUGCUGUCACUUAUAGAUGGAUCCGCGCCGCAUUAGCUAGUUUGUAAGGUAACGGCUUACCAAGGCAACGAUGCGUAGCCGACCUGAGAGGGUGAUCGGCCGCAUUGGAACUGGUACUCGGUCCGGGCUCCUACCGAAGGCAGCUGUCGAGACUCUUCCCCCAUAGCCGAAAUCCUGACGUUGCACCACCGCGUGGGUGAGGAAGCUCUUCGCAUCGUAAAACUCUGUUGUUGGGAAAUACCAAAUGUGUAAGUAACUAUACACGUCUUGACAGUACCUAAACAGAAAGUCACGGCUAACUACGUG
RNAcentral lists this ribosomal RNA (497 nucleotides) under uncultured bacterium. RNAcentral describes it as "partial 16S ribosomal RNA". It matches the Rfam family "Bacterial small subunit ribosomal RNA", at positions 28 to 507 of the family's 1533-position model. The record is from RNAcentral.